CUUCAACGAGCCGAGCAGCAGGGGCUGUUCACGGUCCUGGCCGUAGGUGGCGAGCAGCGCCUGCGCCUC
Non-coding RNA from Streptomyces sp. DSM 15324, 69 nucleotides. It matches the Rfam family "ASpks TB sRNA". The record is from Rfam. Lineage: Bacteria; Bacillati; Actinomycetota; Actinomycetes; Kitasatosporales; Streptomycetaceae.